Molecule: ribosomal RNA, 488 nt
Filed under: uncultured bacterium
Lineage: Bacteria
Description: bacterial SSU rRNA
Rfam family: Bacterial small subunit ribosomal RNA
Source: RNAcentral
GAUGAACGCUAGCUACAGGCUUAACACAUGCAAGUCGAGGGGCAGCUAUGUUGGUUGCUUGCAACCGAUGAUGGCGACCGGCGCACGGGUGAGUAACGCGUAUCCAACCUACCCUUGUCCAUCGGAUAACCCGUCGAAAGGCGGCCUAACACGAUAUGCGGUUCACAGCAGGCAUCUAAGGUGAACGAAAUGUGAAGGAGAAGGAUGGGGAUGCGUCUGAUUAGCUUGUUGGCGGGUAACGGCCCACCAAGGCGACGAUCAGUAGGGGUUCUGAGAGGAAGGUCCCCCACAUUGGAACUGAGACACGGUCCAAACUCCUACGGGAGGCAGCAGUGAGGAAUAUUGGUCAAUGGACGGGAGUCUGAACCAGCCAAGUAGCGUGCAGGACGACGGCCCUAUGGGUUGUAAACUGCUUUUAUAGGGGGAUAAAGUGUGCCACGUGUGGCAUAUUGCAGGUACCCUAUGAAUAAGGACCGGCUAAUUCCGUG